This 253-nucleotide ribosomal RNA is filed under the name uncultured bacterium. Its description in RNAcentral is "partial 16S ribosomal RNA". It matches the Rfam family "Bacterial small subunit ribosomal RNA", at positions 524 to 776 of the family's 1533-position model. The record is from RNAcentral.
UACGUAGGGUGCGAGCGUUAAUCGGAAUUACUGGGCGUAAAGCGUGCGCAGGCGGUUAUAUAAGACGGAUGUGAAAUCCCCGGGCUCAACCUGGGACCUGCAUUUGUGACUGUAUAGCUAGAGUACGGUAGAGGGGGAUGGAAUUCCGCGUGUAGCAGUGAAAUGCGUAGAUAUGCGGAGGGACACCGAUGGCGAAGGCAAUCCCCUGGACCUGUACUGACGCUCAUGCACGAAAGCGUGGGGAGCAAACAGG